AACGAACGCUGGCGGCAUGCCUAACACAUGCAAGUCGAACGAGACCUUCGGGUCUAGUGGCGCCCGGGUGCGUAACGCGUGGGAACCUGCCCUUAGGUUCGGAAUAACUCCCCGUAAGGGGUGCUAAUACCGGAUAAUGUCUUCGGACCAAAGAUUUAUCGCCUUUGGAUGGGCCCGCGUUGGAUUAGCUAGUUGGUAGGGUAAAAGCCUACCAAGGCGACGAUCCAUAGCUGGUCUGAGAGGAUGAUCAGCCACACUGGGACUGAGACACGGCCCAGACUCCUACGGGAGGCAGCAGUGGGGAAUAUUGGACAAUGGGCGAAAGCCUGAUCCAGCAAUGCCGCGUGAGUGAUGAAGGCCUUAGGGUUGUAAAGCUCUUUUACCCGGGAUGAUAAUGACAGUACCGGGAGAAUAAGCUCCGGCUAACUCCGUG
RNAcentral lists this ribosomal RNA (433 nucleotides) under uncultured bacterium. RNAcentral describes it as "partial 16S ribosomal RNA". It matches the Rfam family "Bacterial small subunit ribosomal RNA", at positions 29 to 507 of the family's 1533-position model. The record is from RNAcentral.